Molecule: ribosomal RNA, 480 nt
Filed under: uncultured bacterium
Lineage: Bacteria
Description: partial 16S ribosomal RNA
Rfam family: Bacterial small subunit ribosomal RNA
Source: RNAcentral
GACGAACGCUGGCGGCGCGCCUAACACAUGCAAGUCGAGCGAUGAAAUUUUAACCGAUCUCUUCGGAGAGAAGAUAAAAUGGAUUAGCGGCGGACGGGUGAGUAACACGUGAGAAACCUGCCUUUCACAAGGGGAUAGCCUCGGGAAACCGGGAUUAAUACCCUAUGACACAUUUCCUACGCAUGGAAGAAAUGUUAAAACUCCGGUGGUGAAAGAUGGUCUCGCGCCUGAUUAGCUAGUUGGUGGGGUAACGGCCCACCAAGGCCAUGAUCAGUAACCGGCCUGAGAGGGUGAACGGUCACAUUGGAACUGAGACACGGUCCAAACUCCUACGGGAGGCAGCAGUGGGGAAUAUUGCACAAUGGAGGAAACUCUGAUGCAGCGACGCCGCGUGAGCGAUGAAGGCUUUCGAGUCGUAAAGCUCUGUCCUAUGGGAAGAUAAUGACGGUACCAUAGGAGGAAGCCCCGGCUAACUACGUG